This 515-nucleotide unclassified non-coding RNA is filed under the name Hevea brasiliensis (rubber tree). The record is from RNAcentral. Lineage: Eukaryota; Viridiplantae; Streptophyta; Magnoliopsida; Malpighiales; Euphorbiaceae.
AAAAAAAAAAAAAAAAAAAAAAGUAAAAAAAAAUAAAAAAAAAAAAAGAAAAAAAAAACUUUUGGGCGAUGAAUAUAAGGGAAGAAGAAACACUACCACAAAAGAAAACUGCCUAGCAUUAAUAUCAUAGGUUUGUUGAGUUUCAAUAAAUGCAGGAGUGGACCUUUCUCAGAAAGGGGCUUUCUUCGUUCUGAAUGCGAUAGUCAUCGUUCAUUACGAUACUGCUCACUUUCAACCAAGAGCUUUGAAUGGAAUUUUUUUAUUUUUUCGGAAGAUAAGGUACAAUUCCAUUAAAACUUUACAAAUCCUGGACUUUCAUUCAGCAAUAUAAGGACUCAAGAGGCUCAGAGACCCAGUCCUAACACGGAGCUCUAUACAUUAUCAAAGUUUAUAUAUAUAUUGCCAACAAGAAAGAAAUCGCACGAGAUAGUAAUGGCAGGAAAUCCAUAAAAAUCACUUAAAUCGUAUUCUAUUAAUAUUUAUUAUUAAUUAUUUAAAUUUUUUUUAAACUCGAU